Non-coding RNA from Salmo salar (Atlantic salmon), 58 nucleotides. The record is from Rfam. Lineage: Eukaryota; Metazoa; Chordata; Actinopteri; Salmoniformes; Salmonidae.
UGGCUCAGUUGGUAGAGCAUAGUGUUUGCAACGCCAGGGAUGUGGGUUUGAUUCCCAU